AGAGUUUGAUCAUGGCUCAGAUUGAACGCUGGCGGCAUGCCUUACACAUGCAAGUCGAACGGUAACGCGGGGGCAACCCUGGCCCGAGUUGCGAAAGCGUUUGAAAUACUACAUCGGAACGUACCCAGUAGUGGGGGAUAGCUCGGCGAAAGCCGGAUUAAUACCGCAUAUGCCUACGGGUGAAAGCGGGGGACCGCAAGGCCUCGCGCUAUUGGAGCGGCCGAUGUCGGAUUAGCCUGUUUGGUGGGGUAAAAGCCUACCAAGGCGACGAUCCGUAGCUGGUCUGAGAGGACGACCAGCCACACUGGGACUGAGACACGGCCCAGACUCCUACGGGAGGCAGCAGUGGGGAAUUUUGGACAAUGGGCGAAAGCCUGAUCCAGCAAUGCCGCGUGUGUGAAGAAGGCCUUCGGGUUGUAAAGCACUUUUGGCGGGAACGAAACAGCGCUUGCUAAUACCGAGCGCGAAUGACGGUACCCGCAGAAUAAGCACCGGCUAACUACGUGCCAGCAGCCGCGGUAAUACGUAGGGUGCAAGCGUUAAUCGGAAUUACUGGGCGUAAAGCGUGCGCAGGCGGCUUUGUAAGACAGAUGUGAAAGCCCCGGGCUUAACCUGGGAAGUGCAUUUGUGACUGCAAGGCUAGAGUGCGUCAGAGGGAGGUGGAAUUCCGCGUGUAGCAGUGAAAUGCGUAGAGAUGCGGAGGAACACCGAUGGCGAAGGC
Molecule: ribosomal RNA, 721 nt
Filed under: uncultured bacterium
Lineage: Bacteria
Description: bacterial SSU rRNA
Rfam family: Bacterial small subunit ribosomal RNA
Source: RNAcentral